Cricetulus griseus (Chinese hamster) is the source of this 1141-nucleotide non-coding RNA. Lineage: Eukaryota; Metazoa; Chordata; Mammalia; Rodentia; Cricetidae. The record is from RefSeq and is a predicted model, not a curated record.
ACGCGAGGAGGGGCUGACCCGGGCCGGGGGCGCUCGUAGGGUCGGCGAGCGGCCGGUUUGGCGGGACUCAGGGUUCCCGCCCUGAAGGCUGCAGGACCACCCUGAUCUCUGUCCCCUUAGGUGGCGCCUCCCGUGGACAUACGUCAAGCAGUCGUGCACUGGGUUACCUCCCGAAGGUGGGAGGUGCUCCACCCAGCAGCCCUGGCUGGAGAGUCCCCUGGCCUUGACCUGAGCAGGAGUUCUGGUCCGUGGGUAGUUGGGAUCCCCAUUUUAAACACGAUGGGGCGAGAAUUCCACCUGUCGAGCAAUUUAAAAGCACAGAGGUGACGGUGGCGUUCUUCUAUGCUGAGGCCAAAGUGGAUGGAGGCCUGGAGACAGAAAGAAAGGACUUCAAGAGCACCGCAGCCCGGGAUUAAGAGUGAAAACCGAGCACAUGGUCCUGGUCUUGCGGAGCAAUCAGGCCCAGGCUGUGGAACAGACUCUGACCUCACCAAAAGCUUAAGUCCAGUGGCGUCUGCAUUUUUCCUGAACAGAAGGACGCUUCGGAGAUUCUUCUUCAAACCCGUUGUCACAUACCAGACCCUUCUCUGCCUUGCAUGUUUUUCCUGAUUCCCUCCCUUUUCACCUUUGCGCCCCCCCCCAUCCUGCCAUCCUUUAUGGAGAUGCCUAUGGUGAAUCUUGUCUCUAGAAUGUCCUUCCUCAUCCUGCCUGGAGGUCCCUCGGUGCCACCUCUAAAGCCACAUUUACGUACUUCCUUCAGAGACUCACAGUCUUUCCAUUUUUGUAUAAUUGACCCUUUGUGUAGCUCUCACUCCUACAGAUGGAGCUUUAGGGCAAGCAACACCUUUUUGUAUUUCCAGUUUGUAGCAUAAUGAUUAGGGCAUUGCAGACAUACCAGUGUAUUGGCCAAUGGGUAAAUGAAGAAUGUAGGUGGGAAUUUAGAGAGCCAAUUGCAAUCAAAGUUCAAAGUGAGAGCAUGUUUGCUUUGAAAGGGAGCAGUUCAGACCUGAACUAUCUUUCCCAACUGUGACAGCUACUGAAGCUUGUCCAAAUUUAACUGUCCUUUAAAUGUGUAACACAUGUUCAUAAUAUUCAUAUUAAUUUUUGUCAAAGUGAUUAUAUUAUUUUGGGUUAAUAUUAA